Perca flavescens (yellow perch) is the source of this 1396-nucleotide RNA transcript. It is a transcript of the gene named neurexophilin-4, with no coding region annotated. The transcript has 2 exons. The record is from RefSeq and is a predicted model, not a curated record. Lineage: Eukaryota; Metazoa; Chordata; Actinopteri; Perciformes; Percidae.
CUAGCCUGACAAGCCAGGCCCACAACAAAUUACAUUUGCUGCCGCUUUUCUCUGAAUGUUCACAUUUAUUAGAAACCUAAUAAUGCAAAAAGCAGGGCAUCAAAAACAUUGUUAAACCUCUUCGUGUUCCUUUCCAUGGAAAUUUUGAGUAGCACAAAGCUGCAAUACCAGAGGCUGGGCCGCAAUCCUAGGAUCGCAUUUCUAGGACCAUAGUUUUUCGCGACUACUGAAGUUGGUGACCAAAUGGUCAGGACCGCAUUUCUACCAUGGAUGUAGCUAUUAUAUUGACGAUUUCUAUCGCAAAAUGGACGACCAAUAUGACAAGCAGAGUUGAAGUGGAGGAAAUCAGUAACGUUAGAGGAAUUAAUUGAAUUGAGGAAAGAAGGAAGACUGUUCAAUUGGUACUUCACAAUUUGGGGUUUCCAUAUUGAAGGGUCGGGAAAAGUCAAAUGUUAAUAACAUUUAAUUAAUUUCUAUUUGGUUUCCUUGCAUUUCUCUCUCUCUUUCUAGCAGGGAUCAUUGAGAACCGUCAUCCUCCACUGUUUGUGUCAUGCAUGCUCACUCGGUCAUCAGCACAAACAGAAACACCAUAUUUGAGUCUUUUAGACUUGUUUGCUUCUGACGGCGCUGUAGUAAAGUAAUAAUAAUAAAGAAAUACGGUCCAGAAAAUGCAGCCUCCUGUCACUAGGUGGCGCUGUAGGGAAAAACUAGGGUUCUGGAAAUGCUAUCCUAGAAAGGCGGUCCUGAAAAUGCAGCCUCCGGUACUGCAGGAACAUUGUAUUGGUCCAGUCUGAGAAAAUUAACUUAUUAAAUUUAGUGAUAUAAUGAUUUAUUAAGCGCUUAACCUACAAGUCCAGUAUGACUUCCAUUCCAUGCUUCCAUUAGAUGGCGCUGCACACAGAAUUAUUUCCUUAUAGACAGGAUAGAUUAUUUCAUCAGUGUAUUUAAAAUCUUGGUACAAUGUGAAAACACUCACAAUUGUCAAUUAUUACACAUGAAGCAUAGCCUAAUAAGCUGCUAGCUAGCUUAAAAUGUUGGUUACUUGAACACGGGGGGAGCAUGAAACGUAAUGGGUUUCUGAUCUCAUUCUUUAUUUAAGAUAACUUGUCUGGUUGGUUGAUCUAGGCUACUUGCAGUAUUUGUUGGCUUGAAAUUCCACAGAUAGGCUGAGGCAGUGGCAUAAUCUCACCAGACUUGUCAGUGAUUUUUACAUUUCCCGGAGAGAGCCCUUGUCAUUUUGUCAGCCUCCCCGUGGCUACAGUAUGCGGGGACAGCGGGGAGGGCUGUCAAACUGUGCCCGCCUGAGAGCGCCUUUCUCUGGGUUGAUGAGUCAUAAUAAGGUCCGGCCAGGUGGUGAAAUAUGAGCAGGGAGGACUGUGUGUGUGUGUGUGUGUGU